GAUGUUGAGCAAGAAACUGGUCUUCUGGAAUAAGCAUAGAAUCAUCAAGCUUCUGUCUCUUUGGUUCUGGUUCUUCAGGAAGUGGUGGUGGAGCUUCAUCUGGUGGAGGUGGUGGAGGUAUUCCUUGAGGCAAAGGUGGUGGCUGCAUCAUAGACAUAGAAGGAGGAGCAACUGGAAGAGGAACAUACGAUCGGGGAACAGAGACAGGAGUAAACUGAGAACCUGGAGGUGGUGGUACAGGAAUACCAGGCAAAUUCACAGGAAUUGGCGGAGGCAUUGAUGGUGGUCGAUUAACCAUAAUUGGAGGUUGCCCAGCUUGCAUAGGUAAUGGCGGUUGGCGAAUUGAUGGAAUCAUCUGGAUACCAAUUGGCCUGGGCUGAUGAGGUACUGGGAUUCCACCACUAGUUGGAGGUGCAUACUGG
This 422-nucleotide long non-coding RNA is filed under the name Carica papaya (papaya). RNAcentral's name for it is "long non-coding RNA (CPAP_LNC001730)". The record is from RNAcentral. Lineage: Eukaryota; Viridiplantae; Streptophyta; Magnoliopsida; Brassicales; Caricaceae.